RNAcentral lists this ribosomal RNA (538 nucleotides) under Bradyrhizobium sp. RaM5-9. RNAcentral's name for it is "bacterial SSU rRNA". It matches the Rfam family "Bacterial small subunit ribosomal RNA", at positions 63 to 646 of the family's 1533-position model. The record is from RNAcentral. Lineage: Bacteria; Pseudomonadati; Pseudomonadota; Alphaproteobacteria; Hyphomicrobiales; Nitrobacteraceae.
CGAGCGGGCGUAGCAAUACGUCAGCGGCAGACGGGUGAGUAACGCGUGGGAACGUACCUUUUGGUUCGGAACAACUGAGGGAAACUUCAGCUAAUACCGGAUAAGCCCUUACGGGGAAAGAUUUAUCGCCGAAAGAUCGGCCCGCGUCUGAUUAGCUAGUUGGUGAGGUAAUGGCUCACCAAGGCGACGAUCAGUAGCUGGUCUGAGAGGAUGAUCAGCCACAUUGGGACUGAGACACGGCCCAAACUCCUACGGGAGGCAGCAGUGGGGAAUAUUGGACAAUGGGCGAAAGCCUGAUCCAGCCAUGCCGCGUGAGUGAUGAAGGCCCUAGGGUUGUAAAGCUCUUUUGUGCGGGAAGAUAAUGACGGUACCGCAAGAAUAAGCCCCGGCUAACUUCGUGCCAGCAGCCGCGGUAAUACGAAGGGGGCUAGCGUUGCUCGGAAUCACUGGGCGUAAAGGGUGCGUAGGCGGGUCUUUAAGUCAGAGGUGAAUCCUGGAGCUCAACUCCAGAACUGCCUUUGAUACUGAAGAUCUUGAG